RNAcentral lists this ribosomal RNA (426 nucleotides) under uncultured bacterium. RNAcentral's name for it is "partial 16S ribosomal RNA". It matches the Rfam family "Bacterial small subunit ribosomal RNA", at positions 354 to 796 of the family's 1533-position model. The record is from RNAcentral.
GUGAGGAAUUUUCCGCAAUGGGCGAAAGCCUGACGGAGCAAUGCCGCGUGAAGGAUGAAGGCCUAUGGGUUGUAAACUUCUUUUCUCAGAAAAGAAUUAUGACGGUAUCUGAGGAAUAAGCAUCGGCUAACUCUGUGCCAGCAGCCGCGGUAAGACAGAGGAUGCAAGCGUUAUCCGGAAUGAUUGGGCGUAAAGCGUCUGUAGGUUGUUUAAAAAGUAUUCUGUCAAAGAUUAGGGCUUAACCCUAGAUAGGAAGAAUAAACUUUUAAGCUAGAGUGUGGUAGAGGCAGAGGGAAUUCCCGGUGGAGCGGUGAAAUGCGUAGAUAUCGGGAGGAACACCAAAGGCGAAGGCACUCUGCUGGGCCAAUACUAACACUGAGAGACGAAAGCGAGGGGAGCAAAUGGGAUUAGAAACCCUUGUAGUCC